This is a long non-coding RNA of Salvelinus namaycush (lake trout), 621 nucleotides long. RefSeq lists it as uncharacterized. Lineage: Eukaryota; Metazoa; Chordata; Actinopteri; Salmoniformes; Salmonidae. The transcript is spliced from 6 exons. The record is from RefSeq and is a predicted model, not a curated record.
UAUUUUAAACCGUGUGGCUGUCUCCUUAAAUCACUUGCCCCUUUGCUUUGGCUCAGACAUUCUACGUCAUACUGACAUGUCGAACCCCAGCUCUAGCCAGACAUCAGAACAACUUCCUUUGGUUUCAAUCGAUCAUUGUUGAAGAACUUGUAUUAAACAAAAAAAAUAAACAUGGCCUCAAGUUGUCGAAAACCCGAGCAUAUGGCCCCGCCUAAAAAUGUUCUACAACGAAGAGGAGGCCAAGAAAUAUUUUCAGAAUUCUUGGAUGAUUUAGAUCCAGGGCCAGAUGUCUUAGAGGGCUGUGGAGCUGCUGAACCUGCCUGAGGACCAGCCCUGUUUCCUGCUAGAUGUGGGGUUCUUCCCGUGUCUAUUGGUUUGGUUUUCAGGAAGCCUACCCAAGGGGCUGCGGUCAGAGACGGUGGACAGGAGUGUCCCUAAUCAAGUCCAAUUCACAGGACAGAGAUCUCGCUUUAAGAACAUGAAGGGCAAGUCUGCAGAGAAGGGAAAAGACUGGAUCUUGGAGGGGAGGAGAAGACAGGGCAGGUAUGUACCCCCCCCCGUCUACACUGUCUCAUUGAGAAGACAGGGCAGGUACAGUUGAAGUCGGAGGUUUACAUACAC